This 22-nucleotide microRNA is filed under the name Drosophila virilis. Its description in RNAcentral is "dvi-miR-9696b-5p". Lineage: Eukaryota; Metazoa; Arthropoda; Insecta; Diptera; Drosophilidae. The record is from miRBase by way of RNAcentral.
AAAGGCCCUUUCAGACUGUUAU